GGAUAAUCUAUUAUGGCAUCAUGACCAUGGCAGUGUGCCACCUGUUUGGAGGAAGAGGCCACCGUGUCUGGAAACUGUGGCUUUAAAGGUGCUUUCAGAAAACUCCUGCCACAGCAGAAACGCUCCACAGCACUGUCUUCCAACUGACUGAAUAAUAGCGGAGAAUCUGACUUCUCCAGGACUUCUGUGGGCCUUUGUCUUUGAAGCAACACGACACAGGGCCUUGACAUUCUAAAAACGCUGCUUAGAAUUUGACUGUACCCAAAAGAGGAUGUGCUAAGCUCCACUGGUGAAAAGUGGCUCUGGCAGAAGGCGUCAGUGAAUGAUGGCCCUCAUGUUCAGUCCCAAGCACUUAACGCUCGCUGUGAAAAGCCCCUCACGGCUUUACUUCUGGAAGAUGGUUUGAGCUGCUAACUAAUGCCCUGAAGGAACAACAUGCACCUGUAACCCAAGACUGCAGCAGGUGUCGGAUGCUGAGCCUGCUUAAGGAGGCCAAAAGUGCCCAUUUCCCCGCAGUUAAGAUUGACUCUGAGAGUGGAGUACUAUAAUUCUAGCUUCGGGCACCACUUCUGGGUGGCUGCUUCCAAAAGCUUAGCUUCAAGAUGCACUGCUGGUCUUCCAUCCAAGUGGGAUGCAUUUCUUUGCUAGGCCUAGUUCCCUGGUAAUUCUGUCUUCUUUUCAUGGAGAGCGUGUGUGCUCAGAGAUGGCUGGUGAGUCAUGCGGUGUUCAAGUUUUUGAAUUUAUUCGGUAGCAAAUUAUAUGUUAAACACAUUUUAGCAUCUAUGGUGGGUUAUUACUGAGAACUGAAAAAUAAAUAAAGACCAAGUGGACGGCGUAUUCAAAGGAUCUUCCAUAAAAUUCAACUUUUAAACAUUUAUAAAUAUUUCAGCAAAACCUAAAUUUGAAUUCUCCUCGCUUUUGUGCAAUGGAAGGAACCUAAAUUCAUGGCCCUGAAAAACAGUAAUAUAUGGGGUGCUAACCACAGCAGAAAAACAAACUUUUCUUUUUAAUCAUUUUAAUUUUGA
Molecule: long non-coding RNA, 1025 nt
Organism: Thunnus maccoyii (southern bluefin tuna)
Lineage: Eukaryota; Metazoa; Chordata; Actinopteri; Scombriformes; Scombridae
Exons: 3
Source: RefSeq, a predicted model, not a curated record